CGCGGGGUGGAGCAGCCCAGUAGCUCGCCAGGCUCAUAACCUGGAGGUCGCCGGAGCGAAGCCGGCCCCCGCAA
This 74-nucleotide transfer RNA is filed under the name Phycisphaerae bacterium. Its description in RNAcentral is "tRNA-Met". It matches the Rfam family "tRNA". Rfam says of the family: Transfer RNA (tRNA) molecules are approximately 80 nucleotides in length. Their secondary structure includes four short double-helical elements and three loops (D, anti-codon, and T loops). Lineage: Bacteria; Pseudomonadati; Planctomycetota; Phycisphaerae. The record is from RNAcentral.